UCUUUUUUAUACCUUAACAAGAAGUGCAUUCACAUAGAAGCAGUGGUACCUAAUAUUUUUAAGUUUAUUUUAUUUAUGUAUUAGAUAUGAUCUUCAAUUUACUUAUAUAUAUACACGAUGUAUUGCUUAAAGUAGAAAAUUUUCAUAACAAACAUUAGUUGCUCAGUGUCCUGAUUAUUUUUCGAAUUUGUGGAUGUAGAAUUUCUUGGGGCCAGGGGUCGAUUUUUCAGUUGGAAAUGUGUCGGGUUCUUGUUCUUACCGUAGUGCCCGGCUUGCUUAGCAACCAAAGCUAGCUUACUAAGUUAGUUUACUUUUUAAUUUUGAAAAAAGAAGGUGAAGGGAUUUUUCCUUGAUUGCAUGCUUAACUUAAUGUUGUAGCAACAAUAUAGUGUGUUGAUGAGAUGAAAGAUGGAAACUACCUUUUAGGUGUUAAUUCUGUAAUGGGUAUUAAUUAAAAAAAAAUAAAGAAUGUUUGAUACUUGUGCUGAUUUUGUCAAAUGCAAGUACAAGACGAGAAUACCUAUCAAGCGAUUACUGAAAAAUACUUCUACAAAAGUUAAGCAAGCCAGCUAAACAAACCAUCAAAUUGAAGUCAGUGCUAGCAAGAAAAUUACAGAUGCUAAAUUUGCUAAAAAAUUUCAAGUUGUAUUGAAGGAGCUUCAAAAAGCUCAGAGGCUUGCGGCUGAAAAAGAUACAUCACAUUCACCUUUCAUUCCACAAGUAGUUCUUCAUUCUAGAUACUACUGUUAUUAAGUUAACUGGUAAUUGCAUUGGCUACGCUGAUGGUUCUCUGGAUAAUGCUAAGUUCAACAAACCUAGAAGCUUUGCUGUUGAUUGAAAAGGGAAUAUUUAUGUUGUUGAUAUGAAGAAAAUGUGUGCAAUUAAAAAGAUUAACAAGUCAGCAAACGUGCCGUCGUCUUCAACUCAACAGUAAUUCUAGCC
This is a long non-coding RNA of Solanum lycopersicum (tomato), 942 nucleotides long. RefSeq lists it as uncharacterized. The record is from RefSeq and is a predicted model, not a curated record. NCBI's taxonomy places the organism in Eukaryota, Viridiplantae, Streptophyta, Magnoliopsida, Solanales, Solanaceae.